UUCAUGACUGGGGGUGAAGUCGUAACAAGGUAGCCGUAGGGGAACCUGCGGUUGGAUCACCUCCUUACCUGAAAGAA
Molecule: ribosomal RNA, 77 nt
Filed under: Klebsiella oxytoca
Lineage: Bacteria; Pseudomonadati; Pseudomonadota; Gammaproteobacteria; Enterobacterales; Enterobacteriaceae
Description: partial 16S ribosomal RNA
Rfam family: Bacterial small subunit ribosomal RNA (bases 1-67)
Source: RNAcentral